GAUGAACGCUGGCGGCGUGCCUAAUACAUGCAAGUCGAGCGAAUGGAUUAAGAGCUUGCUCUUAUGAAGUUAGCGGCGGACGGGUGAGUAACACGUGGGUAACUUGCCCAUAAGACUGGGAUAACUCCGGGAAACCGGGGCUAAUACCGGAUAACAUUUUGAACCGCAUGGUUCGAAAUUGAAAGGCGGCUUCGGCUGUCACUUAUGGAUGGACCCGCGUCGCAUUAGCUAGUUGGUGAGGUAACGGCUCACCAAGGCAACGAUGCGUAGCCGACCUGGGAGGGUGAUCGGCCAACCUGGGACUGAGACACGGCCCAGACUCCUACGGGAGGCAGCAGUAGGGAACCUUCCGCAAUGGACGAAAGUCUGACGGAGCAACGCCGCGUGAGUGAUGAAGGCUUUCGGGUCGUAAAACUCUGUUGUUAGGGAAGAACAAGUGCUAGUUGAAUAAGCUGGCACCUUGACGGUACCUAACCAGAAAGCCACGGCUAACUACGUGCCAGCCGCCGCCGUAA
Molecule: ribosomal RNA, 515 nt
Filed under: uncultured bacterium
Lineage: Bacteria
Description: partial 16S ribosomal RNA
Rfam family: Bacterial small subunit ribosomal RNA
Source: RNAcentral